UUUGCUUCUCGGCCUUUUGGCUAAGAUCAAGUGUAGUAUAUGUUCUUAUCAGUUUAAAAUAUUCACUUUAAAUAUUAGCACUUUAUUCAUAAUUUAUACAAAGCAAGACACGAU
Molecule: small nuclear RNA, 114 nt
Organism: Cavia porcellus (domestic guinea pig)
Lineage: Eukaryota; Metazoa; Chordata; Mammalia; Rodentia; Caviidae
Rfam family: U2 spliceosomal RNA
About the family: U2 is a small nuclear RNA (snRNA) component of the spliceosome (involved in pre-mRNA splicing).
Source: Rfam